UGGGGAAUAUUGGACAAUGGGCGCAAGCCUGAUCCAGCCAUGCCGCGUGAGUGACGAAGGUCUUCGGAUUGUAAAGCUCUUUUACCAGGGACGAUAAUGACGGUACCUGGAGAAUAAGCCCCGGCUAACUUCGUGCCAGCAGCCGCGGUAAUACGAAGGGGGCUAGCGUUGUUCGGAAUUACUGGGCGUAAAGCGCACGUAGGCGGAUUUGUAAGUCAGGGGUGAAAUCCCGGGGCUCAACCUCGGAACUGCCUUUGAUACUGCAAGUCUCGAGUCCGAUAGAGGUGAGUGGAAUUCCUAGUGUAGAGGUGAAAUUCGUAGAUAUUAGGAAGAACACCAGUGGCGAAGGCGGCUCACUGGAUCGGUACUGACGCUGAGGUGCGAAAGCGUGGGGAGCAAACAGGAUUAGAUACCCCCGUAGUCCCUGAGCGGGCUGGCAAGGCGCAU
This 447-nucleotide ribosomal RNA is filed under the name uncultured bacterium. RNAcentral describes it as "bacterial SSU rRNA". It matches the Rfam family "Bacterial small subunit ribosomal RNA", at positions 355 to 825 of the family's 1533-position model. The record is from RNAcentral.